Molecule: ribosomal RNA, 331 nt
Filed under: uncultured eukaryote
Lineage: Eukaryota
Description: partial 18S ribosomal RNA
Rfam family: Eukaryotic small subunit ribosomal RNA
Source: RNAcentral
CAAUAGCAUAUAUUAAUUCUGCUGCAGUUAAAGCGUCCGUAGUUGAUAAGAGCAAUCUUUGACAACCAUCGAAUGAUGGGCGUGAAAGUUGCAUAGCACACCUUGUGCUGGUCUUAAACUUUGAGCAAAUUGAAUUGUUUAUCUCGAUCUCGUAUUGAACAGCUCAUCAUUGUAUUUGACACCAAACACUGACGAUCACUGAGACGUGUUCACUAGUGGAUAAGAUAAAGGGAAAUAUGAAGGUGAGUGUACUUGUUGGAGAGAGGUGAAAUUCUGAGACCCAACAAAGACAAACUAUCGCGAAAGCAAUCACCUAGUAUUUACCAGCUAA